UGGUGAAGAAGUAUACAAACACUAAAAGGGGUCUUAAAAGGAUGCGUUCUUCAAAUAAACCAGUUAACUUUCUCCGAGAUUAUGAUUAUGAUUAGAUAUACUGAUCUGCAAAUCGUGUAACAUACACGCGUCCAAAUGUGUUCCAUGUAAAGUGGUAUUUACAAACGUGUGUACUCUGCAUCUGAUGUCGUAACAACACCUUAAUGGUCAGCGCCCACGCAAUGUAUGUGCAUGCAUAUUAAUAUAUAAGGUGAUUUACCUAAAAUAUUUUCUUUUACAUUUUAACAUUUAAAGAAUUUUUAAUUCUUUUUUGUUUAAUCAAAAUAUUCAUUACAGAAGAAUGAUAAGAAUGAUUUAAAAUUGCAAUGUAUUAGUUUUGUUAUAUAGUGUCAAUUAUAAGUUAGAUAUAUGUUAAUAUAUUAUCUUUUCAAAAUAUUAUCUCGUUUCUUUGAUUUUCUUUGAUUCUUGUUUAAUGUUUCAUGGAACAACAUUUUGAACAAAGGUAACAGUUACAAUACAAAAAAAAUAUUUUGAGAGAGAAAAAUAAAAAAAAUCUAAUUCAAGGAAUUAAUUUAUCAAUUAUAAAAAUUAAAUUUAGAUUUUUGUAGUUUUAUAUACGUCUUAACAUGAUGCAAACAAUUAAUUGAUUUCCUUAUAGAAAAGGAUAGCAAUAUUUAUGAGACACUGUAUAGAUUUGUCGUAGUACGAUAUAUAUGUACCUUGCCUUCCUUCACGGUCUGUUCGUCACAUGUUGAGUACUUUUACCGCGUUUUUCAACAUUCUCCCUGCUUCCCUUACUAACUUCCACAGAUGUAUGAAACUACUUCGCAAAUUAAUUCUUGUUGUUAAAAAGUUUAUAAGAUUUAUUAACAUACAAAAAUUCAUAUAAAGUAACUGUGCAUUUAAAAAAAUUUAUAAAUCAAGAAAUUAUACAAAAAAAAGUU
Apis cerana (Asiatic honeybee) is the source of this 944-nucleotide long non-coding RNA. RefSeq lists it as uncharacterized. NCBI's taxonomy places the organism in Eukaryota, Metazoa, Arthropoda, Insecta, Hymenoptera, Apidae. The record is from RefSeq and is a predicted model, not a curated record.